RNAcentral lists this ribosomal RNA (345 nucleotides) under Anaplasma marginale. RNAcentral describes it as "bacterial SSU rRNA". It matches the Rfam family "Bacterial small subunit ribosomal RNA", at positions 1003 to 1351 of the family's 1533-position model. Lineage: Bacteria; Pseudomonadati; Pseudomonadota; Alphaproteobacteria; Rickettsiales; Anaplasmataceae. The record is from RNAcentral.
GGAAGGGCGCAGUUCGGCUGGGCCUCGCACAGGAGCUGCAUGGCUGUCGUCAGCUCGUGUCGUGAGAUGUUGGGUUAAGUCCCGCAACGAGCGCAACCCUCAUCCUUAGUUACCUGCGGGUAAUGCCGGGCACUUUAAGGAAACUGCCAGUGAUAAACUGGAGGAAGGUGGGGAUGAUGUCAAGUCAGCACGGCCCUUAUGGGGUGGGGUACACACGUGCUACAAUGGCGACUACAAUAGGUUGCAACGUCGCAAGGCUGAGCUAAUGCGUAAAAGUCCUCUCAGUUCGGAUUGUCCUCUGUAACUCGAGGGCAUGAAGUCGGAAUCGCUAGUAUUCGUGGAUCA